This 45-nucleotide non-coding RNA is filed under the name Schistosoma mansoni. The record is from RNAcentral. Lineage: Eukaryota; Metazoa; Platyhelminthes; Trematoda; Strigeidida; Schistosomatidae.
CUCCAGCUGACGAGUCCCAAAUAGGACGAAACUCGUGUCCUUGAU